This 424-nucleotide ribosomal RNA is filed under the name uncultured bacterium. RNAcentral describes it as "bacterial SSU rRNA". It matches the Rfam family "Bacterial small subunit ribosomal RNA", at positions 356 to 773 of the family's 1533-position model. The record is from RNAcentral.
GGGGAAUAUUGGACAAUGGGGAAACCCUGAUCCAGCGACGCCGCGUGGGUGAAGAAGGCCUGCGGGUUGUAAAGCCCUUUCGGUAGGGACGAAAACUCUUGAUCUAACAAAUCAGGAGCUUGACUUAACCUACAUAAGAAGCACCGGCUAACUCUGUGCCAGCAGCCGCGGUAAUACAGAGGGUGCGAGCGUUAAUCGGAAUUACUGGGCGUAAAGCGCACGUAGGCGGCUUUGUAAGUCGGAUGUGAAAUCCCCGGGCUCAACCUGGGAACUGCACCCGAAACUACAUUGCUAGAGUAUGGGAGAGGGAGGCGGAAUUUCCGGUGUAGCAGUGAAAUGCGUAGAUAUCGGAAGGAACAUCAGUGGCGAAGGCGGCCUCCUGGACCAAUACUGACGCUCAGGUGCGAAAGCGUGGGGAGCAAAC